CAGACCUCUGCUUCAAUUGGAAAUGAUGUACCAAGCUGGAUACCACAAAUUGGCAUGAAGUUUAGCAGUUUGGAUGAGGCUUGGAUUUUUUGGGAGCAUUAUGGUGGCAGAGUUGGGUUUGGUGUUAGGAAAAGGUACUCAAAUGCGAGCAAAUUUGAUGGAACAAUUACUUCAUGCAGAUUUGUGUGUCGUAAAGAGGGUCGUCGAGGAAAAGACAAAAGAGAUAAGCAUAUUAAGCAACCUCGAGCAGAAAUUAGGACUGGUUGCCAAGCUCGUAUGGGUAUCACAAUAGAUCGGAAAAAUGGUAAUUACGAAGUUUUUGAUCUUGUUCUUGAACACGAUCACAUGUUGCAGUUGCAAGAAACAUGCCACCUCAUGCCCUCACAGCGGAAGAUAACUGAAAUUCAAGCGUUUGAGAUUGAAAUUGCCGAUGAUUCGGGUAUUGGACCAAAAGUUGCACAUGAAUCAGCUUGCCGGCGAGUUGGCGGAUCAUCCAUCCUUGGCUACAUUCAACGGGAUCACAAAAAUUACUUGCAUACUAAGCGCCAAAGGGAACUAAAAUAUGGUGAAGCAGGAAGUAUCUUGAAAUAUUUCCAGGAUAAAAUCCGAGAAAAUCCAUCAUUUCAAUAUGACAUACAACAUGAUUGUGAAGAACAGAUCACAAAUAUAUUCUGGGCUGAUGCAAGAAUGAUAAUUGACUAUGCUCAUUUCGGUGACGUUGUAACUUUUGACACCACAUUUGGAACAAACAAGGAGCAUCGGCCAUUUGGCGUAUUUGUUGGGUUCAAUCAUUUCAGAGAAACUGUUAUUUUUGGUGCUUGUCUUCUGUAUGAUGAAACAUUUGAAUCUUUUAGAUGGCUUUUUGAAACUUUUCUGUCAAUACACAAUCAGAAGCAGCCCAAGAACAUAUAUAGCGAUCAAGACACUGCAAUGGGAAAUGCAGUGGAGAGUGUGUUUUCAGCAGCACGACAU
Molecule: ribosomal RNA, 972 nt
Filed under: Triticum aestivum (bread wheat)
Lineage: Eukaryota; Viridiplantae; Streptophyta; Magnoliopsida; Poales; Poaceae
Description: partial small subunit ribosomal RNA
Source: RNAcentral